RNAcentral lists this long non-coding RNA (805 nucleotides) under Homo sapiens (human). RNAcentral's name for it is "HSALNT0011658". The record is from RNAcentral. Lineage: Eukaryota; Metazoa; Chordata; Mammalia; Primates; Hominidae.
CUGCAAGCUCCGCCUUCUGGGUUCAGGCCAUUCUCCUGCCUCAGCCUCCCGAGUAGCUGGGAGUAGAGGCGCCCGCCACCACACCUGGCUAACUUUUUGUAUUUUUAGUGGAGAGGGAGUUUCACCGUUUUAGACAGGAUGGUCUCGAUCUCCUGACCUCCUGAUCCACCCGCCUCUGCCUGCCAAAGUGCUGGGAUUACAGACGUGAGCCACCGCGCCCGGCUGUUUUCUUUUUUUUAACAGUAGGAAAACACAAGCGUGAAGCCUCCAUUUGGGAAGCCUGCAGAAGCCCCAAUCCAAUCACAGCACUGCCAGAGGAUCUUAGAAGUUGAAUAUCAAUUUAAUAACACAUCCUGUUUGAGAUUGGGUUCUAACUAUAUUGCCCAAGCUAGAUUCAAACUCUUGGGCUCAAGUGAUCCUCCUGCCUAAGACUCCUUAGUAGCUUGGAACUUCAGAACCAUCUGUCAAUGGCUACUUCAUACUUUAGAUGCUCCAAGAGGAAAAAGUCAUUUCAGAAUUGUAUCCAUAACCCAGUUUCAUUGAAGAUGGAGUCUUCCUUCAGAUUUUCUACAUAGACAAUUAUACCUCUGUGAACAAAGACAGUUUAUUUCUUCCUUCCCAGAGAUUGAGAGAGCAAGAAUCGUAGAUAUGAUAGCAACUACAAGAAACUUUGGCUCCAUUCUACACGACGGUUCUACCUCUGACUUAAAACUAGGAGACCAGUUUUGCUGUUUCCCAGGCAGUUCUUGAACUCCUGCCUCAAGCUAUCCUCCUGCCUCAGCUUCCUGAGUAGCUGGGAUUACAG